CCUACGGGUGGCAGCAGUGAGGAAUAUUGCUCAAUGGACGAGAGUCUGAACCAGCAAAGUAGCGUGAAGGAUGACUGCUUUAUGGUUUUUAAACUUCUUUUAUAUGGGAAUUAAAUGUUCCACGUGUGGGAUUUUGUAUGUACCAUAUGAAUAAGGAUCGGCUGAAUCCGUGACAGCAGCCGCGGUAAUACGGAGGAUCCGAGCGUUAUCCGGAUUUAUUGGGGUUAAAGGGUGCGUAGGUGGAUUAUUAAGUCAGUUGUGAAAGUUUGCGGCUCAACCGUAAAAUUGCAGUUGAAACUGGCAGUCGUGAGUAUAGGAGAGGUAGGCGGAAUUCGUGGUGUAGGGGUGAAAUGCUUAGAUAUCACGAAGAAUUCUGAUUGCGAAGGCAGUUCACUGGA
RNAcentral lists this ribosomal RNA (398 nucleotides) under uncultured bacterium. RNAcentral's name for it is "partial 16S ribosomal RNA". It matches the Rfam family "Bacterial small subunit ribosomal RNA", at positions 338 to 733 of the family's 1533-position model. The record is from RNAcentral.